This 876-nucleotide ribosomal RNA is filed under the name uncultured bacterium. Its description in RNAcentral is "bacterial SSU rRNA". It matches the Rfam family "Bacterial small subunit ribosomal RNA", at positions 10 to 915 of the family's 1533-position model. The record is from RNAcentral.
AGUUUGAUCCUGGCUCAGGAUGAACGCUGGCGGCGUGCCUAACACAUGCAAGUCGAGCGAUUCUCUUCGGAGAAGAGCGGCGGACGGGUGAGUAACGCGUGGGUAACCUGCCCUGUACACACGGAUAACAUACCGAAAGGUAUGCUAAUACGAGAUAAUAUGCUUUUAUCGCAUGGUAGAAGUAUCAAAGCUUUUGCGGUACAGGAUGGACCCGCGUCUGAUUAGCUAGUUGGUAAGGUAACGGCUUACCAAGGCGACGAUCAGUAGCCGACCUGAGAGGGUGAUCGGCCACAUUGGAACUGAGACACGGUCCAAACUCCUACGGGAGGCAGCAGUGGGGAAUAUUGCACAAUGGGCGAAAGCCUGAUGCAGCAACGCCGCGUGAGCGAUGAAGGCCUUCGGGUCGUAAAGCUCUGUCCUCAAGGAAGAUAAUGACGGUACUUGAGGAGGAAGCCCCGGCUAACUACGUGCCAGCAGCCGCGGUAAUACGUAGGGGGCUAGCGUUAUCCGGAAUUACUGGGCGUAAAGGGUGCGUAGGUGGUUUCUUAAGUCAGAGGUGAAAGGCUACGGCUCAACCGUAGUAAGCCUUUGAAACUGGGAAACUUGAGUGCAGGAGAGGAGAGUGGAAUUCCUAGUGUAGCGGUGAAAUGCGUAGAUAUUAGGAGGAACACCAGUUGCGAAGGCGGCUCUCUGGACUGUAACUGACACUGAGGCACGAAAGCGUGGGGAGCAAACAGGAUUAGAUACCCUGGUAGUCCACGCCGUAAACGAUGAGUACUAGCUGUCGGAGGUUACCCCCUUCGGUGGCGCAGCUAACGCAUUAAGUACUCCGCCUGGGAAGUACGCUCGCAAGAGUGAAACUCAAAUGAAUUGACG